UCUGUGCCGGAGUUAACGCAAUAAGUACCCCGCCUGGGGAGUACGACCGCAAGGUUGAAACUCAAAGGAAUUGACGGGGGCCCGCACAAGCGGUGGAGUAUGUGGUUUAAUUCGACGCAACGCGAAGAACCUUACCAGGUCUAGACAUUGGUGGACAGAACCAGAGAUGGUUCCUCUUCUUCGGAAGCCAGAAAACAGGUGGUGCACGGUUGUCGUCAGCUCGUGUCGUGAGAUGUUGGGUUAAGUCNNNNANCGAGCGCAACCCCUAUCUUAUGUUGCCAGCACGUAAAGGUGGGAACUCAUGAGAGACUGCCGCAGACAAUGCGGAGGAAGGCGGGGAUGACGUCAAAUCAUCAUGCCCCUUAUGACCUGGGCUACACACGUACUACAAUGGGAGUUAAUAGACGGAAGCGAGAUCGCGAGAUGGAGCAAACCCGAGAAACACUCUCUCAGUUCGGAUCGUAGGCUGCAACUCNC
Molecule: ribosomal RNA, 477 nt
Filed under: uncultured bacterium
Lineage: Bacteria
Description: bacterial SSU rRNA
Rfam family: Bacterial small subunit ribosomal RNA
Source: RNAcentral